CAGAGUGAAUACAACCAAAAACGAUAUGC
This 29-nucleotide non-coding RNA is filed under the name Mus musculus (house mouse). The record is from RNAcentral. Lineage: Eukaryota; Metazoa; Chordata; Mammalia; Rodentia; Muridae.